GAUGAACGCUGGCGGCGUGCCUAAUACAUGCAAGUCGAGCGAACAGACGAGGAGCUUGCUCCUCUGACGUUAGCGGCGGACGGGUGAGUAACACGUGUAUAACCUACCUAUAAGACUGGGAUAACUUCGGGAAACCGGAGCUAAUACCGGAUAAUAUAUUGCACCGCAUGGUUCAAUAGUGAAAGACGGUUUUGCUGUCACUUAUAGAUGGAUCCGCGCCGCAUUAGCUAGUUGGUAAGGUAACGGCUUACCAAGGCUACGAUGCGUAGCCGACCUGAGAGGGUGAUCGGCCACACUGGAACUGAGACACGGUCCAGACUCCUACGGGAGGCAGCAGUAGGGAAUCUUCCGCAAAGGGCGAAAGCCUGACGGAGCAACGCCGCGUGAGUGAUGAAGGUCUUCGGAUCGUAAAACUCUGUUAUUAGGGAAGAACAAAUGUGUAAGUAACUAUGCACGUCUUGACGGUACCUAAUCAGAAAGCCACGGCUAACUACGUG
Molecule: ribosomal RNA, 497 nt
Filed under: uncultured bacterium
Lineage: Bacteria
Description: partial 16S ribosomal RNA
Rfam family: Bacterial small subunit ribosomal RNA
Source: RNAcentral